GACAGCUGGUGGUUGGUUGCCUCAGGUCACGUGAUAAGCAGGAGCGUCCUGGUCCUCUCCAAAUGGGGGCCCGGAGUGGCCUAGGGGCGCUAUUUUGUGCAGGUCUGCCCUAACACAUCAAGAAAAAAGAUGGUAUUUUCUAUCUCAUUUUGAACAUUUUUUUUAUCGUUUAAGGAAAGUUUAGUUAUCUUAAGAAAAGUAAUUUUAUUUAAAUUUGAGUUUCAUUAGUUUGAUGAGUAAAAUUAGCAAUUCUUUACAACUGUAAACAUGUUCAGAGACGGACAAGAAAUAGGACGAUAAAUGUGCCCCUUAAAAAAGCUGUCCACAAAGGAGUCUACCUUAUUGAUGAAAACAGUUUUGGGAACAGCCAGUACCUGAGCACCGACAAAACAGAAGUGGGUCAGGAAAGAAUUUUUUGAUUCUAAGGUUUUCAGUGACUAUCUACUCCCAUGGUGGAUGAUGAACUCAAUGACCUGCACAACUGAGAAGCAAAUAUAGUGUAAGGUACUGUCUACAACCGUGAAAAUGAACUCAGGAAAUUCUGUGAAUCGUUUUCCAUUUCAGACAGUGGACCUAGAAGGUCUAAUCCAAAAAAUCAGUUCUUAUGCUAAUGGAAUCCACAAAACAAGUGAGUGCUAAUCACCUGAGAUAUACUUCUCUAUUAAACAAAGAAAAAGAGGGCCCAGUUCG
RNAcentral lists this long non-coding RNA (690 nucleotides) under Phascolarctos cinereus (koala). Its description in RNAcentral is "lncRNA (ENSPCIG00000034307.1)". Lineage: Eukaryota; Metazoa; Chordata; Mammalia; Diprotodontia; Phascolarctidae. The record is from RNAcentral.